UACGGAGGGUGCGAGCGUUGUCCGGAAUCAUUGGGCGUAAAGGGCGCGUAGGUGGCCCGGUCAGUUCGUGGUGAAAGCGCGGGGCUCAACCCUGCGUCGGCCAUGAAUACUGCCGCGGCUGGAGCACUGUAGAGGCAGGCGGAAUUCCGGGUGUAGCGGUGGAAUGCGUAGAGAUCCGGAAGAACACCGGUGGCGAAGGCGGCCUGCUGGGCAGUUGCUGACACUGAGGCGCGACAGCGUGGGGAG
This 246-nucleotide ribosomal RNA is filed under the name uncultured bacterium. RNAcentral's name for it is "partial 16S ribosomal RNA". It matches the Rfam family "Bacterial small subunit ribosomal RNA", at positions 524 to 768 of the family's 1533-position model. The record is from RNAcentral.